UGCAUAUAGCGGACCACUGGUGGCUUUUGGACGGCAAGCCGCCGGUGGUGUGCCAACUGUGGACCGACAUCGGACCACUGACAGUUACAAAACACACAUCGGCCAAGCGGCGGAUUUUGGUUGGCAAUCCGCGAUAGUGCGCGAGUACUUUCAGCUGGUCUAGAGGCGACAUGCCACCCUCGCACCACUGGUGGACCACUAGUCAUUUUGCGCCAGCAACUGUCAUUACAGCGCGCAUUCCAGCGGCGACAUGCCACCCUCGCACCGCUGGUGGACCACUGGAAGAUCUAUAGCCUACUACUCAUGUGCCAGCAAAUAACUGUCGUUUACAUCAGAUGAAUCAUAACAACGACACGGAGCUGUAUGAAGAAACAACAACACAAAGGAUCCAACAGAAGGGGCUUUCCUAAAACACCUCAUGUUUUAUCCCUUGCACCAAGCAUGCUCCUUUCUUUCCACAUACAUUGCUGACUGUAACCUAAAAAUAAACAAAAAUGCAUUUAA
Molecule: long non-coding RNA, 504 nt
Organism: Engraulis encrasicolus (European anchovy)
Lineage: Eukaryota; Metazoa; Chordata; Actinopteri; Clupeiformes; Engraulidae
Exons: 2
Source: RefSeq, a predicted model, not a curated record